CUUUAUACCGUGGAACUGCGAAUGGCUCAUUAAAUCAGUUAUCGUUUAUUUGAUAGUACCUUUACCUGGAUAACCGUGGUAAUUCUAGAGCUAAUACAUGCUAAAAACCUCGACUUCGGAAGGGGUGUAUUUAUUAGAUAAAAAACCAAUGCCCUUCGGGGCUCCUUGGUGAUUCAUAAUAACUUAACGAAUCGCAUGGCCUUGCGCCGGCGAUGGUUCAUUCAAAUUUCUGCCCUAUCAACUUUCGAUUGUAAGAUAGAGGCUUACAAUGGUCUUAACGGGUGACGGGGAAUUAGGGUUCUAUUCCGGAGAGGGAGCCUGAGAAACGGCUACCACAUCCAAGGAAGGCAGCAGGCGCGCAAAUUACCCAAUCCCGACACGGGGAGGUAGUGACAAUAAAUACUGAUACGGGGCUCUUUCGGGUCUCGUAAUUGGAAUGAGUACAAUCUAAAUCCCUUAACGAGGAACAAUUGGAGGGCAAGUCUGGUGCCAGCAGCCGCGGUAAUUCCAGCUCCAAUAGCGUAUAUUAAAGUUGUUGCCGUUAAAAAGCUCGUAGUUGAACCUUGGACCUGGCUGAUCUGUCCUCCUAAUCGAGCGCACGGAUUCGGUCGGGUCUUUCCUUCUGGGGAACCUCAUGCCCUUCACUGGGUGUGCUGGGGAACCAGGACUUUUACCUUGAAAAAAUUAGAGUGUUCAAAGCAGGCCUUUGCUCGAAUACAUUAGCAUGGAAUAAUAGAAUAGGACAUCGGUUCUAUUUUGUUGGUUUCUAGGACCGCUGUAAUGAUUAAUAGGGAUAGUCGGGGGCGUCAGUAUUCAAUUGUCAGAGGUGAAAUUCUUGGAUUUAUUGAAGACUAACUACUGCGAAAGCAUUCGCCAAGGAUGUUUUCAUUAAUCAGUGAACGAAAGUUAGGGGAUCGAAGACGAUCAGAUACCGUCGUAGUCUUAACCAUAAACUAUGCCGACUAGGGAUCGGACGGUGGUUUUUUUAUGCCCCGUUCGGCACCUUACGAGAAAUCAAAGUGUUG
This 1025-nucleotide ribosomal RNA is filed under the name Capronia epimyces. RNAcentral describes it as "SSU rRNA". It matches the Rfam family "Eukaryotic small subunit ribosomal RNA", at positions 72 to 1108 of the family's 1831-position model. The record is from RNAcentral. Lineage: Eukaryota; Fungi; Ascomycota; Eurotiomycetes; Chaetothyriales; Herpotrichiellaceae.